This 1021-nucleotide long non-coding RNA is filed under the name Coturnix japonica (Japanese quail). RNAcentral describes it as "lncRNA (ENSCJPG00005007140.1)". Lineage: Eukaryota; Metazoa; Chordata; Aves; Galliformes; Phasianidae. The record is from RNAcentral.
ACUUGAUUUGCUUUUUAGUUUCUUUCCACUCCAUUGGUCUGUAUGGUACUCGGUUCAUUUCAGGAGAUAUUUGUUUUUGAUUUAGGGACAACCAAAAGGGGAGCUUGGCAAAGAGCGGAGCCAACAGGUCUCCUGACAACCUGCUUCCAACCAAUGCCUCCUCUGCACACUGGACUCGUGCAUCUCUCAGCCCAGCAGAUCACCUCUAACAGCCCACCUCAACAACAGGCGAUUACUGGGAAGGCUGUGGCUGAGAGUAAAACUGAGCAUACAUUCAGCUCCUGAGAUGUACAAGUUACGCUUGAAAUGUAGAAACGUGUGAAGAAAGGAAAAUUAGGUGGAACAACAUCUGUGUAAGGAGCUCAACGCACUGCUGCCUUUCUGCAGAGCUUGCAAUGCAUGACCAGUUGGGAGAGCUCGUUGUUGUUGCAGAUCUUGCCCUCUGAGAUUCAGUCAGAAACUUUAUGCAUUGCUCUGUCUCGCGCAUAGCUUUCUGCAUGCUUUCCUCCUGCAUGCUCUCAAUCACAUACUCCUGCCUUGAUAUUAAAGUUACAUCUGCAUGAUGUUUCAUUACCUUGCCCAGAGCUUGCUCGGGAUUCUCUGAGCCACCACAUCAUCCUACAUACCUAGGCCCAAAAUCCUAUAAGGAGUCUCACAGCUGAGGCUUAGUUGUGUGCUGAAUAUAUAUGACCACUCUGGAGCACACACACCUCAAACCUCUGUCUGGCUGCAAACCACAAUAGCCCCACUGGGGACACAGGAGUGUCACAGUUCUCCUGCCUAGCCACAUUCCUUUCUUUUUCCAUGUCUUUUCAGCUCCUCACUGCAGCUUGUACAUUAUGUGAGACUCACUGGCUGCGAUGACAGGGGACCAACAAGACAAUAACUGAAGGUUGGCUGAGCAGGACAUCCACUUUAUUACUGCACACUCAGCCCCCCUCAAAAAAUACUGCACCCAAGCAACCUGUGAAUUUCUAUGUAAGCAGUAACUAAAGAAAAUAAAUGAGUAAAGGGAGGAACA